Molecule: ribosomal RNA, 497 nt
Filed under: uncultured bacterium
Lineage: Bacteria
Description: partial 16S ribosomal RNA
Rfam family: Bacterial small subunit ribosomal RNA
Source: RNAcentral
GAUGAACGCUGGCGGCGUGCCUAAUACAUGCAAGUCGAGCGAACAGAUAAGGAGCUUGCUCCUUUGACGUUAGCGGCGGACGGGUGAGUAACACGUGGGUAACCUAUCUAUAAGACCGGAAUAACUCCGGGAAACCGGGGCUAAUGCCGGAUAACAUGUUGAACCGCAUGGUUCUACAGUGAAAGGCGGCUUUGCUGUCACUUAUAGAUGGACCCGCGCCGUAUUAGCUAGUUGGUGAGGUAACGGCUCACCAAGGCAACGAUACGUAGCCGACCUGAGAGGGUGAUCGGCCACACUGGAACUGAGACACGGUCCAGACUCCUACGGGAGGCAGCAGUAGGGAAUCUUCCGCAAUGGGCGAAAGCCUGACGGAGCAACGCCGCGUGAGUGAUGAAGGUCUUCGGAUCGUAAAACUCUGUUAUUAGGGAAGAACAAAUGCGUAAGUAACUGUGCGCGUCUUGACGGUACCUAAUCAGAAAGCCACGGCUAACUACGUG